This is a non-coding RNA of Dermacentor andersoni, 433 nucleotides long. The record is from RefSeq and is a predicted model, not a curated record. NCBI's taxonomy places the organism in Eukaryota, Metazoa, Arthropoda, Arachnida, Ixodida, Ixodidae.
UGCAGCAGCAAGUUGGACUAUUUGACACCAGUACAUACCCACCAGUAUCGAUGAAAGUGUACAAUAGAACAGGGCGUACUGACGUGUAUAAUAUGAUGCUCCGAUAUAAUCAACCGGAUACUUUCAACUGUAGCGUCUUCGUCGUCAGUGAACAGAAUACAAAAAAUAGUGAUUCGACGAGGUGCGCCAUGUACAUCAAGGGGAAACUUCCUAAAGGUGUGAAUCCCCCCCUGCACUGCCAAAUUUCAUUCAAUACUUGCAGUAACUGGCGGAAAGUAUAUAAGCCAUACAAGUGGACUUGUAAAGAACAUAUGCAAUAAAGUGGCAACAAAUAAUAAUCGGAAUAUAGUAAUAAAGGUGGCAAACACAAUGUCUUAUGUGAUAAAGAAACAGUUGACCAAUAUGCUAAAUAAAAUGCUUUUUUCUUAAAUGA